Molecule: long non-coding RNA, 257 nt
Filed under: Erythranthe guttata (spotted monkey flower)
Lineage: Eukaryota; Viridiplantae; Streptophyta; Magnoliopsida; Lamiales; Phrymaceae
Description: long non-coding RNA (EGUT_LNC002231)
Source: RNAcentral
AACAUUGUGUGUGUUAUAUGCGGCGAUGUCGGGAAGAAAGAUGUCUUGCAGCGUUGUGUAGAAUGGAAUAUACGGUUUAUAUUGUAUGGAUGGAUUUUAAAAAAAAUUAUUUAUGUUUUUCAAUCUUUGAUUAUACUUUCGAUAGUUGUAAGUUUGGUUUCUACGAAGAAGAAGUUGAGUUUAAUGACGGUGAUAAUGUAAUAAAAAAAAAUACCAAAGUAACUCAUGUAUGUAUUUUGUGAUUUGUAUGAAUAUAU